GGCCGGCCUGGCAGGGCAGCUGGGGCGGGCAGCAGGGAGGCAUUUGCUGGGUCUGGGGCAGGGCCAGCACUUUCCCAGCAGCAGGCCUAUCGGACUGACCCCAGCCGCAGGGAGGAGGCGCGGCAGAGGCCUGGAGGUCUGGCGGUGGUUCCGGACAGCCCGCCACCCCCACAGGCCCGGAGGCCUGCGUCAGACCUGCCUCAGGGGCCCGGCCGGACGGCCGAGGGCGUUACCAGGGAGGUGAGCUGUGUGUGUGUGUGUGUGUGCGCGCGUGUGUGUGUGUGUGUGUGUGUGGGCGUGCCCGCACACCCAGGAGAGAGAUGUGUCCAGGCUGGACCCCUGUGCACCCCUGGAGAGAAACACCCACACCCUGAGAUUCUGAGCUUCACAGCAGUUCUAUCCCCAGCCCACCUCCACCCCAGAGGCUGUGCCCCCUGCCAGGCACCCCGUGCCCCGGGUGCCACCCCGCGGCCAAAGAGGCCCUCAGGCCAGCCCGGUCAGGCCAGGCCCAGGUCAGCACCCCAGUCUGCUCUGGGGCAACAGGCAGGUAUGGACAGGCCCCGGGCAGGCACAGGCUGUCCCGGGGACCAAGGCAGCAGGCCUGGCAGGGACUCGGCUGGGCACGGGCAGGAAAGAGGGCAGGAUGCAAGGAGAAAGCCUCGUGUGGGUCCCCGCGCAUCGCGGGGCAGGGCUGGUUGGCUCGGUGACUGGGCAGCAGAAGGCCACCCACGUGCGCUCGCUGGCGGGACCCUCGCCCAGCCCCCGGCGGCGGCAGCCGAGGCCGCCUUUGGGAGGAGCCGGCAGCGCCUCCCGAGUCCCGUGCUGACCAGGGCUGCCCUGCCGGACACGGCCAUCAUCGCCCGCAGAAACCGGGGCCCGGAGAGGCCACAGUCGGCCAUGGCCACAGACACAGUGAGAGGCCCUCAGGCUCCCAGGCCUGCCUCUGCCUGGGGCCGGGCACCCCCGGCUUCAGGCCCAGGGCUCCGCCCAGGUGAGGAGCCAGCACCUUGGACAGAGAGAGGCCAUGCUUCCAAAACUGCCCCCAAACUAGAGCUGGAAGGCCCCUCAGCGCCUCCCCCGCCGCCAAGCUGA
Molecule: long non-coding RNA, 1092 nt
Filed under: Bos indicus x Bos taurus (hybrid cattle)
Lineage: Eukaryota; Metazoa; Chordata; Mammalia; Artiodactyla; Bovidae
Description: lncRNA (ENSBIXG00000001591.1)
Source: RNAcentral